This 1654-nucleotide ribosomal RNA is filed under the name human gut metagenome. RNAcentral's name for it is "bacterial LSU rRNA". It matches the Rfam family "Bacterial large subunit ribosomal RNA", at positions 842 to 2482 of the family's 2925-position model. The record is from RNAcentral.
GAGAUAGCUGGUUCUCCCCGAAAUAGCUUUAGGGCUAGCCUCAGGGAAAAGAUUGCAGGCGGUAGAGCACUGAUCAGGAGAGGGACCUACCCGGUUACCAAACCCAGUCAAACUCCGAAUGGCUGCAAUCAUACCUGGGAGUCAGACUGCGACUAAUAAGGGCCGCAGUCAAAAGGGAAACAGCCCAGACCAUCAGCUAAGGUCCCCAAUGCCGUGCUAAGUGGCGAAGGAUGUGGCAUUUCAUAAACAACCAGGAUGUUGGCUCAGAAGCAGCCACCAUUUAAAGAGUGCGUAAUAGCUCACUGGUCGAGAGACGCUGCGCCGAAAAUGUCCGGGGCUCAAGCACGGAACCGAAGCUAUGGCAUGAUAGCAAUAUCAUGGGUAGGGGAGCGUUCUUAUAAGGAAGAAGCAUGACCGGAAGGACAUGUGGACGAAUAAGAAGUGAGAAUGCCGGUAUGAGUAUCGAAAAGAAAGGUGAGAAUCCUUUCCACCGAAAGCCCGAGGGUUCCUGAGCAACGAUCGUCGACUCAGGGUAAGUCGGGACCUAAGCCGAGGCGAGAAGCGUAGGCGAUGGACAACAGGUUGAAAUUCCUGUACCGGAUCAAGUCGAUCGAGCGAAGGAGCGACGCAGGAGGGCACAUGAUCGCGCGGCUGGAAGAGCGCGUCCAAGUGCGUAUGUUGCAGCAGAGGAAAACCCCUGCAGCUAAAAGCAGAGACAUGAUGGGGAGUUAAAGGAAACUUUGACGAACUCAUGAAUCCCACACUGCCAAGAAAAACUUCUAGCGAGACAAGAUCCGCCCGUACCGUAAACCGACACAGGUAGGCGGGGAGAGAAUCCUAAGGUGCGCGGGAAAACCCUCGUUAAGGAACUCGGCAAAUUGCAUCCGUAACCUAGGGAGAAGGAUGGCCCCCGGUCAGUGAAGAGCAGAAACGCUCAGAGCUAAAAGGGGCGGCAGAAAAGAGGCCCAAGCAACUGUUUACCAAAAACACAGGUGCCUGCGAAAGCGAAAGCUGAAGUAUAGGUGCUGACGCCUGCCCGGUGCCGGAAGGUUAAGGAGAGAAGUUAGCGAAAGCGAAGCAUCGAACUGAAGCCCCGGUGAACGGCGGCCGUAACUAUAACGGUCCUAAGGUAGCGAAAUUCCUUGUCGGGGAAGUUCCGACCCGCAUGAAAGGCGUAAUGAUUUGGGCACUGUCUCAACGAGGGGCCCGGUGAAAUUGAAAUACCUGUGAAGAUGCAGGUUACCCGCGACUGGACAGAAAGACCCCAUGGAGCUUCACUGCAGCUUGAGAUUGAAUCCCGGUGACAGAUGCACAGGAUAGGUGGGAGGCGCCGAAGCAUUGCCCUAGGGCGGUGCGGAGCCGAUGUUGGGAUACCACCCUUCUGUUGCUGAGAUUCUAACGCGAGGAGUAACGACCCUGCGGACCCUCUCAGGCAGGCGGUUUGACUGGGGCGGUCGCCUCCGAAAGAGUAACGGAGGCGCCCAAAGGUUCCCUCAGGCCGGACAGAAACCGGCCGAAGAGUGCAAAGGCAGAAGGGAGCUUGACUGCGAGACCAACAAGUCGAGCAGAGACGAAAGUCGGGCUUAGUGAUCCGGUGGUACUGGGUGGAAAGGCCAUCGCUCAACGGAUAAAAGCUACCCUGGGGAUAACAGGC